RNAcentral lists this ribosomal RNA (542 nucleotides) under fungal endophyte sp. ECD-2008. Its description in RNAcentral is "eukaryotic LSU rRNA". The stretch from base 170 to 323 matches the Rfam family "5.8S ribosomal RNA". Lineage: Eukaryota; Fungi. The record is from RNAcentral.
CUUUGUGACAUACCUACAACUGUUGCUUCGGCGGGUAGGCCGUCCCCUGAAAAGGACGCCUCCCGGCCSGGACCGGACCCCCUGUGGGGCCGGACUCGGCGCCCGCCGGAGGAUAACCAAACGCUAUUUUAACGACGUUUCUUCUGAGUGGCAUAAGCAAAAUAAUCAAAACUUUUAACAACGGAUCUCUUGGUUCUGGCAUCGAUGAAGAACGCAGCGAAAUGCGAUAAGUAAUGUGAAUUGCAGAAUUCAGUGAAUCAUCGAAUCUUUGAACGCACAUUGCGCCCGCCAGCAUUCUGGCGGGCAUGCCUGUUCGAGCGUCAUUUCAACCCUCAAGCUCUGCUUGGUGUUGGGGCUCUACGGUCGACGUAGGCCCUCAAAGGUAGUGGCGGACCCUCCCGGAGCCUCCUUUGCGUAGUAACAUUUCGUCUCGYACUGGGAUCCGGAGGGACUCUUGCCGUAAAACCCCCCAAUUUUUCAAGGUUGACCUCGGAUCAGGUAGGAAUACCCGCUGAACUUAAGCAUAUCAAUAAGCGGAGGAA